This is a long non-coding RNA of Mesocricetus auratus (golden hamster), 2303 nucleotides long. RefSeq lists it as uncharacterized. The record is from RefSeq and is a predicted model, not a curated record. The transcript is spliced from 3 exons. Lineage: Eukaryota; Metazoa; Chordata; Mammalia; Rodentia; Cricetidae.
CUCCUUGGCAACCCGGGGGAAACAACCUGAGUCAGGAGAGGGUAGCGCGCGGGAGAAAAACCGUGAGGGGAAAUCCCGGCCCUUCCGUUCUGACGCAGAGACUGCGGUCUCCCUGCCUUUGUCUGGAGAACCUCAAAGAAAGUAAAGUUCCUGCCGGGAAUAUUCUACUCUCAGGCUGGCUGGUUGGUUUCCAGUUCACCAUACCAUCUUAGUAAACUUGAAGACAGGACUUUUGACUGUCCCAUUGGUGAGGUUUUCAACACCCUCCGCAAACACUAAGCCCAGCAGCAUACUGGGCAGGCUAAAACAAUGUAAGGCUCAGGGAUCCGAUACAGAGCAGCUGAGAAAUAAAUAAUGUUGCUGAGGCUGAAGAUGAUACAAAGAAGCAUGGCUGCUGCUAUCUGAGGCAAAGAGAAGGGUCUGGAGGUGGCCAGGAGCCACUCCUUCCUCAGAGUCUUGUCCAGGAGGAUGGCUUCCAUCUGCAAGUGUGUGGCCAGGAUCACACACACGUGAAACAGCUGGUGACUAUGACCUAUGAAAAAACACAAAAGGUCAUCAAGAUUACCAGUCAGAACCAGAGAAAUGGCUCUGUGGGUGAAGGCUCCUGCUGCCAAGCCUGGUAACAUUAGUGCCACUCCUGCAACCCUCAGAAGAGUAUACAUUCCCAUUAGUUGUUCUCUGACCUCUGCAUGUUAUGGCUUGUGCAUACCCAUAUAUAUAAUAUAUAUAUGUAUACACACACACACACACACACACGCACACACACACACACACACACACACACGCACACGCAUGCAUUUACAUGAAAUAAAUUACGUGCUGGGAAGUCAUCCAUCAAGAGAUAUAUGGGCACAGGCUGUGAUACGUAUGCUAAAAAUGCAACAGUUAAAUCCAAGGAUCCAGGCCAGAGAUCACAUAUAUGAUUUUUUUUGUUUGGUUAACUUAUUUCAGUGCUGAUUGUCUUCUGAGACAGGGUCUCAUGUAGCCCAGACUUGAACUCACUAUGUAGCUGAGGAUGACUUUAAACUCUGGUCCUCCUGCCUCCACCUCCUGAGUGCUGGGAUCACAGGCUUGCACAAUCACACUAAUUUUAUAAUUCAGCUUGUAAGAAAUGCUUAGAGAGGCAGGUGAAAGAGCCAUAGGCAUGCCUGCAUCCUUAUGGACACAGACUGGCUGGAGACAUUCACAGGCCUGCAGUGCCAGGCAGAUAGUGCCAUUAUGAUGAGCAAAUCUAUGGUGGAGAAAUGGGAGAGCAAUGGGCUGGCUCUUGUGUUGUGGAAAGAGGCGGAGCUGAAAAAGCAAAGGUGGUGAGAAACAAGCUAAUGUAGGGGGCCUGCUUGCCACCCAGGGCCAUGGUCCUACGCCAGUAGGGUAGUUGACAACCCCAGUCUGUGCUGACGUUCAUUGCCCACAUAACAACCAAAGGCCGCCAGGUAGUGGUGGCGCAUGCCUUUAAUCCCAGCACUCAGGAGGCAGAGGCAGGCGGAUCUCUGUGAGUUCAAGGCUGGGCUGGACCGACAGCUUCUAAAACAAUACAGAGAAACCCUGUCUCAUAAAACCAAAAAAAAAAAAAAACCAAAAAACAAAAACAACAACAACAACAACAAAAAACAACCAAAGGCCACAUUGAUGCCCCAGUGUCUGGGCUGCCACCUAUGGUCAUAUUGGUGUCUGAGGACUGUGCCACAUAGGGGCCAUGCCAAUCUGAGUGGCCUGAGCUGCCACCCAGUACCUUGAUGUCAUCAGGGCCCGAGCUGCAGAUGAGGGACAUGUCAGGGUUCAUGACCAUACUGCAGCCAGAGUCUGUGUUGGUGUCCAUGCUUCAGUUACCAUUGAAGACCAAAUGGAUGUCUGUAGUUGGACCUGCCACCUGAGGCCAUGUUGCUGUCUGAGAGCCAUGCUCCAGCUGUACCGUACUUAUCUGAGUGUCUUGUACUACCACUUGGAUCAUGGUGACAUCUGGGCCCAGGCUGCUGCCAAGAGCCACGUCUGGGUCUGUGGUCCUACCACAGCUGGGGUCUAUGCUGACAUCCAUGGCCUGUGUUGCCACCAAAGGGCUACCCAGAUCCACAUCCUGGGCUUUGAGUUGGCCCACUCCAGCAUCUACACCAUCCAUGACCUCCUGAGUGCAUGAAGGGAUUUGUCCUACAGAACCAUGACCUCGGGAUCUCCAUGAUACCAGACAAUGGCAGGAUGAGAUAUCCAGGAGGAGUUUUGGUGAGGAUCUAGUGUUGAUGGUGUACCAGAAGCCAGAGCCCUUGAACCAGAACUACAACUCAUUACAAUGAAUAUUUUCAAGCAAA